This 76-nucleotide transfer RNA is filed under the name Pseudomonadales bacterium. RNAcentral describes it as "tRNA-Lys". It matches the Rfam family "tRNA". From Rfam's summary of the family: Transfer RNA (tRNA) molecules are approximately 80 nucleotides in length. Their secondary structure includes four short double-helical elements and three loops (D, anti-codon, and T loops). Further hydrogen bonds mediate the characteristic L-shaped molecular structure. tRNAs have two regions of fundamental functional importance: the anti-codon, which is responsible for specific mRNA codon recognition, and the 3' end, to which the tRNAs corresponding amino acid is attached (by aminoacyl-tRNA synthetases). tRNAs cope with the degeneracy of the genetic code in two manners: having more than one tRNA (with a specific anti-codon) for a particular amino acid; and 'wobble' base-pairing, i.e. permitting non-standard base-pairing at the 3rd anti-codon position. RNAcentral also lists the same sequence under 10 other names. Lineage: Bacteria; Pseudomonadati; Pseudomonadota; Gammaproteobacteria; Pseudomonadales. The record is from RNAcentral.
GGGCCGUUAGCUCAGCUGGUAGAGCAGUUGGCUUUUAACCAAUUGGUCGCUGGUUCGAAUCCAGCACGGCCCACCA